GAUGAACGCUAGCUACAGGCUUAACACAUGCAAGUCGAGGGGCAGCACUAGGUAGCAAUACUGAGGUGGCGACCGGCGCACGGGUGCGUAACGCGUAUCCAACCUUCCCGUUACUCUUGGAUAGCCUUCCGAAAGGGAGAUUAAUACAAGAUGGUAUUCAAAUUCCGCAUGUUAUUUGAAUUAAAGAUUUAUCGGUAACGGAUGGGGAUGCGUGACAUUAGAUUGUAGGCGGGGUAACGGCCCACCUAGUCUACGAUGUCUAGGGGUUCUGAGAGGAAGGUCCCCCACACUGGAACUGAGACACGGUCCAGACUCCUACGGGAGGCAGCAGUGAGGAAUAUUGGUCAAUGGUCUGACGACUGAACCAGCCAUGCCGCGUGAAGGUGACGGCCCUAUGGGUCUUAAACUUCUUUUGUAAGGGAGCAAUAAGCGCCACGUGUGGCGUGAUGAGAGUACCUUACGAAUAAGCAUCGGCUAACUCCGUG
Molecule: ribosomal RNA, 485 nt
Filed under: uncultured bacterium
Lineage: Bacteria
Description: bacterial SSU rRNA
Rfam family: Bacterial small subunit ribosomal RNA
Source: RNAcentral